Molecule: ribosomal RNA, 324 nt
Filed under: uncultured eukaryote
Lineage: Eukaryota
Description: partial 18S ribosomal RNA
Rfam family: Eukaryotic small subunit ribosomal RNA
Source: RNAcentral
CCCUUAGAUGUUCUGGGCCGCACGCGCGCUACACUGAUGCAUUCAACGAGUUUCUUCCUGGUCCGAGAGGAAUGGGUAACCUUUUGAAAGUGCAUCGUGAUAGGGAUAGACUAUUGCAAUUAUUGGUCUUCAACGAGGAAUUCCUAGUAGACGUAGUUCAUCAGACUGCAUCGAUUACGUCCCUGCCCUUUGUACACACCGCCCGUCGCUCCUACCGAUUGAAUGCUCAGGUGAGUCAUUCGGACCUUCAUCAUGCCGGUUUCCGGUUUUGAUGAGGGAAAGUCUUGCGAACCUUAUCAUUUAGAGGAAGGAGAAGUCGUAACA